This 420-nucleotide ribosomal RNA is filed under the name uncultured bacterium. Its description in RNAcentral is "bacterial SSU rRNA". It matches the Rfam family "Bacterial small subunit ribosomal RNA", at positions 30 to 455 of the family's 1533-position model. The record is from RNAcentral.
AUUGAACGCUGGCGGCAUGCCUUACACAUGCAAGUCGAACGGCAGCACGGGGCAACCUGGUGGCGAGUGGCGAACGGGUGAGUAAUGCAUCGGAACGUGCCAUUGAGUGGGGGAUAACGUAGCGAAAGUUGCGCUAAUACCGCAUAUUCUGUGAGCAGGAAAGCAGGGGACCGCAAGGCCUUGCGCUCUUUGAGCGGCCGAUGUCAGAUUAGCUAGUUGGUGAGGUAACGGCUUACCAAGGCGACGAUCUGUAGCGGGUCUGAGAGGAUGAUCCGCCACACUGGAACUGAGACACGGUCCAGACUCCUACGGGAGGCAGCAGUGGGGAAUUUUGGACAAUGGGCGCAAGCCUGAUCCAGCCAUGCCGCGUGAGUGAAGAAGGCCUCGGUUGUAAGCUCUUCGGUCCGGGAAGGAAAUACG